Long non-coding RNA from Dermochelys coriacea (leatherback sea turtle), 155 nucleotides. RefSeq lists it as uncharacterized. The record is from RefSeq and is a predicted model, not a curated record. Lineage: Eukaryota; Metazoa; Chordata; Testudines; Dermochelyidae. The transcript is spliced from 3 exons.
UCAGUCUCCUGUCCAUAACUGUUAGGGGAAAUCAACCUAGUUAGCAUAUGUGACUCCAUUUUGGGUUUCCUCUUGGCCAUUAACUAGAAGCGAGCACAUCACCUACCAAGGAAGGAAGGAUCCUUCAAGGUGGACAGCUGGAUAGUUUCAACAUA